Molecule: unclassified non-coding RNA, 463 nt
Filed under: Hevea brasiliensis (rubber tree)
Lineage: Eukaryota; Viridiplantae; Streptophyta; Magnoliopsida; Malpighiales; Euphorbiaceae
Source: RNAcentral
CAAUCGGAAGAUGACUCACCAAGUGGAGCUGAUAUUGAGUUGGCUGCUUCUAGACUUCUCUCACCCUUGAGAAGAACAAGUUCUUCCAAUGUGGUUCAUAGUGGCACGGAAAAUGGUUUUCUUUCAGAAGUUAAUGGAGAACCAUCAAAUAGUUGCAAUGGUCAAUUUGAAUCAAUGGACCAGUCAAUGGAUAACAUAGAGUCAGAGCCAGAGGACACAUCCAGCCAGGACUUGUUGUUCCAGCUCUUUUUGACAGAUGACCGGUAUUCAAGCCGCAAGCCAAUUUUUAAGGACUCGGUCAUAAAACCUGGAGCAAAUCGUAUAAAAAUUUUCCUGGGUUGGACUGAAAAGGAACAUAAAUUAUAUGAUCCCAGCUAUCUAAAGGAUCUCCCAGUGGUUUAUCACAAAACUGGUUUUAGUGCGAAGAAAACCCGGCAGGAAGCGGUCUCUCUAUUUUCAUGCC